AGAAAGCCUAGUUAAAUUUGAACGCCAGAGAACCAAGAGAUAAUUUCUAGGGUAAGCAUAUCCCAUGCAGCAUUUGGGACAUGCUUAUGCUAAAUAUUAUUCGUUGUUUAUCUGACAUUCAAAUUUAAUGGGGCGUUCUCU
Molecule: microRNA precursor, 141 nt
Filed under: Myotis lucifugus (little brown bat)
Lineage: Eukaryota; Metazoa; Chordata; Mammalia; Chiroptera; Vespertilionidae
Description: miRNA (ENSMLUG00000020572.1)
Source: RNAcentral